RNAcentral lists this non-coding RNA (706 nucleotides) under Perkinsus marinus ATCC 50983. RNAcentral describes it as "Eukaryotic large subunit ribosomal RNA". It matches the Rfam family "Eukaryotic large subunit ribosomal RNA", at positions 1 to 650 of the family's 3401-position model. The record is from Rfam by way of RNAcentral. Lineage: Eukaryota; Perkinsozoa; Perkinsida; Perkinsidae.
AAGGCCUGAUGUGUGUGAGAUUACCCGCUGAAUUUAAGCAUAUAAGUAAGCGGAGGAAAAGAAACUAACUAGGAUUCCCUUAGUAAUGGCGAAUGAACAGGGAUCAGCUCAGUGCCAAAUCGGAAUCACUUGUGGUUCUGAAAUGUGGCUUGAAGGCAGUACCAGUGGCAUCGCGGACGAAAGUCUCUUGGAAAAGAGCGUCAUAGAGGGUGAGAAUCCCGUGAGUCGUUCGCCGUUUGUCACGUACGGUCUGCGUUCUAACGAGUCGCGUUCCUUGGGAUUGGAGCGUAAACGGGUGGUAAAUUUCAUCCAAAGCAAAAUAUAUACUCGAGACCGAUAGCACAAAAGUACCGUGAGGGAAAGGUGAAAAGAACUUUGAGAAGAGGGUUAAAUAGUGCCUGAAAUCGUUGAGAAGGAAGCGGAUGCCGCCGUUGCAUAUGCUGAUUGUAGGAUUGCUGCUCGCUCCUGUCUUCUGCUACUCAUUCACAGACCUGGUCGUGUUGAGCAGUUGUUUGGCAGAUGUUAGUGGUGUUUCCUACUUUCAGUCGUCAGCAUCACUGGCUGAGUGGAAAUAAUCUUGGAUGCUAAUUGGUUCGCUAUCUGUGAAUUGGUUGCUUCCUUGCGAUACUCACUACUCGGUCAGUGAGGAAGUGCGUUUGCUGGUCAACGAGCUUUUCUACUGUCAUUACCCUGCGCUUUUCGAUUC